Molecule: ribosomal RNA, 469 nt
Filed under: uncultured bacterium
Lineage: Bacteria
Description: partial 16S ribosomal RNA
Rfam family: Bacterial small subunit ribosomal RNA
Source: RNAcentral
GACGAACGCUGGCGGCGUGCUUAACGCAUGCAAGUCGAACGGAAAGGCCCUGCUUGCAGGGUGCUCGAGUGGCGAACGGGUGAGUAACACGUGGGUGAUCUGCCCCUUAUUUUGGGAUAAGCCUGGGAAACUGGGUCUAAUACUGGAUAGGACCAUGCUGUAGGUGGUGUGGUGGAAAGAUUAGUUUCGGUAAGGGAUGAGCUCGCGGCCUAUCAGCUUGUUGGUGGGGUAAUGGCCUACCAAGGCGUCGACGGGUAGCCGGCCUGAGAGGGUGGACGGCCACAUUGGGACUGAGAUACGGCCCAGACUCCUACGGGAGGCAGCAGUGGGGAAUAUUGCACAAUGGGCGCAAGCCUGAUGCAGCGACGCCGCGUGGGGGAUGACGGCCUUCGGGUUGUAAACUCCUUUCAGCCAUGACGAAGCCCUUGUGGUGACGGUAGUGGUAGAAGAGGCACCGGCUAACUACGUG